Molecule: long non-coding RNA, 332 nt
Filed under: Gossypium raimondii (Peruvian cotton)
Lineage: Eukaryota; Viridiplantae; Streptophyta; Magnoliopsida; Malvales; Malvaceae
Description: long non-coding RNA (GRAI_LNC010192)
Source: RNAcentral
GUCUCAGUGGCUGACGAAGAUUUAGUCACCUUUGCAAUUUUCUGCCCUUUUUUAGCUCUUGGAACCGUCGCAGUAACAUCGCUGCUUUCUCCUUUCUAAACUUGAUAUUCCCAUUUACAUUCAGGACCAAAAGCAUAAUCAGGUAACCAAUUUCUGGGUUUUUUGCACAAUCCCAAAAGAAUCUCUGCUGUCACAUUAUUAUCCCUGUAUAGCCAAGCCUCAUUACAUGGCUUUACCUCAUCGAGUUGAGUUUCGCCAAGAGAAUUGAAGUCCACAUCAUCCCAACCAUUAGGACUUUUCUCCAUCAAGUAGAACUGCCAAACAUUUCUCAG